CCGCCCUCGAUUUUCUCCCGUACACUCCCAAAUCUCAGUUUACCUUCUUCCCCAACUUCUUCCUCUCCAUUUUCUCUUGACCUGCACAUUAAGCAAAAUCCACUCAAAAAAUGUUGCUACACGAUUUUCCCUUGUAUAAUACUCACAUAUCCCGAUUCCCCUUUCUUUUCAAAUUCGUCUUCUCCAUUUUCGUCCUUACUUCAACUUCACAUUUCGGUUUUCCCUCAAAUUUUUGUUCUUACAUAUUUUUCAAAUUUUUGUCAUUUCUAUGCGACAACACCUCAGCUGGGCAUGGACUCUCGCCGUCGAGCACCUCCUAUCGUGUCAUCUCCAGUAGUUCUCUUCAGGAUGCAAGAUAUGUUCGAGCUUGUAGGAGCACCCUUUGUUGAAAAUUGUUUGGCUGGAUUCAAUAAUUCUGUAUUUGCGUAUGGAGGUGGUAUUUUUCAGUUUUUGUUGUUUCUUUUCUAAUUUUGGUUCUUUCGGGCAAAGGAAUUUUAUAUCCUUUUAUCUUCAUGUAUAAUUGUUUUAAGUUUUUUUGCUACUAUAAACCUUGUCUUCUUUGUUCUUUUGUUGCAUUCUUCUCCCAGAUUAGAGAAGAUGUUAAAUGUGGUGUCUAUGUUGCAAAUCUCAAAGAGGAGUGUGUACAUACCUUGACUCAACUCUUGAUGAAGAGAACUUAACAAAAAAGUACAAAGAUCAUGCAUCAUAGUACUCGAGCACGACAUGGACAUCGUAUGGAGGUUUUUUGUUCUACUAAUCUGUUGGUGUUGUGACUUUCCAGAAAACUCAUAUACAGUUGAAUAGAAGCUUUCCAGAUAUUUGAUGUUUAUUGCUUACACGUUGAAAUAUAUUUAGAGAGUUGCUGAUAUUGCAACUGGUAGCAGUGACCUUGAAGCUAUAUUUAAUUUGUGUCUAAAUGGAAAUGAAGGUAUGUUUUCUUUUUUCUGGUUUUGGUAAAUGACACAUACACGCCCAAUUCUGUUAUAGGAUCUUCUUACUAUUAGGCUUGGCUGGUUACUAUUUGGCAGGCUUCCAUUUGAUUUUGUGAGCAUAAACUUCUACUUUUUUUUUUUUGAUAACUAUAUGAGCAAUAACUUCUAAUAAACCUUAUUUUUAUGCGAUCCUCUCAUCAUUGUCAUUUUCAAUCUUAUUUUCUCAUGUGAGCUUCUGUCAUGUUCUCUUCCACUUGAAUGUUAUUGGCCAAUCCCUUGGUUUUCUUGGAUCCUAUUUAUAUGCCUAUUAUAAACUCAGACUGCAGUAAGUAUAUGAAGCUGCUGCAUGAAAGUUUUCCAUUUGCCAGAGGUAACUAGCUCAAAUGGCUCAGUGUUGCUGCUUUUGUCAGCUAUCAAAUUUUGAUCUAAGGAUUAAAGGUUCUGAGGAAGCAUGUGUUUAUAUAUAUGGUUGUGUGUACUACGACAAGCACCCAUCUAGCACUGCAAUGUGGGCAUCUUAUAAUGUAUUGGUGGUGAGGUAGAGAGACACUUGUAUUCAGUUGGAUACUUAAAAAUAUUAUAUGAGCAUUCUCUAACAAAUAACAAGAACUAAUCUGUUUUCACAUUAAAUGUUUAAAAAAGUUACCACUAGUGUGAUCUCUUUCCUGUAGUUGUCUUGUUCAUUAUUUCCUGUUGAUCAUACUUCUUUUAUUUUGUUCUUAUUUUAUUUGUCUGGUUGCCAUUAAUGCGGGAAGAGGAUUCCUUACAGCCUACUUUAAUAGGAGUUAUAGUGUAAGUUAUCUUCUCGUGCGUAUCUAAAUCUCAUACAUGACUUGCAGUGCCUUUUAACUAAGAAUACUAAUUCAAUUCCAAGGUUUUCUAUCCAAUCUACCAACUUUAUACAUAGAUUGGGUCUCAAUUUGUAUGUACCUGUUAAAUUUGAACAUUAAGAACCUGUGGUACUAACAUGCAAGAUUCAACAAUUAACAUAUAUGCUAUAAAUCAAGAACCAAUUUGUUAACUAUAUAUGGCAUAUUUGGGAAGAAAAAAACUCAUGAAGCUUGAAGUUUUUACCCUUAAUUUCUAGAAGUCCCAUUUGAAUAACUAUGGAUAAUAUCUUUACGACAAACAUCCGAUUUUGGCUAAAUGUGAGCUUACUGAUCAAGGUACAAAGGGAUAAAAUCAAUGAAGACUAAGAAUAUAAUUACUUUCUUUGCAUAUAUACACAUAUGCACUACAAUAAUCCGUGAAAUUAACUAGUUUCUGAAAAAUUUGUCUAUAGAUUUAUACCAGAUGAUUGCUACUUAAAACUUAAAUAGUCAUUUGUUUCGCUACAUAACUUAUGCUUUAUUUCUUGAAUCAGUAAAGUAAUGUAUUUUAGCUAUGAGUCUAGGAAUCUUUUCAAUUCCAGUCUUAUUGUUUAGAUUGUUCUUAACUGAAUUAUGAUUUCCUUUUUACGGUAUUAUUUUCAAAAAAUUGAAAGUGAAAGGAGAAAAGAACAAACAACAAGAUUGCUAGAGGCUUACUAAAAUGCCAAAUCCCAAGUAUGGGUUUGCUUAUCACCUCACCUCCUGUAAGUCCUCCUCUAGCAUAAUCUAUUUUGGGUUUCCUUUGUAAUGUAAUUUCUGGUUCUAACUGAUUGGUUUUGUUUCAAACUUUAUGGGUUCUGACCAAUAUUUUCUUACUUAGGUGAACUUGACUUAGGUUUGGGCUUCUUAUUUGCAUUGGUGAAUGACACAUACAAAAUAUGUGUUAUUCACUUUCAUAGGCUUCUUUUUAUCUCACAGCAGGGGAUUCAUAGUUUGUUAGCUUUGGUUUCAGAAUCUGUAACUAUAUUUUUUAUUACCAUUUCCAGGUCAUGGAUAUGCUUGGGCUAAGUUUGUGGGAUGCUUGGAAUAAUAAGUCACACACAUAAGCUUCUUUUUGAAAUUGAUACUUUCUAUUUGUUAACUACUUUUGUCGGUUGUGCCCAUCUGACCUUAAAACUCAUAUAAGUGACACACGUAAGCUUCUUUUCAAUUUACCAAGGACCACAUUUAUAUCAUUAGUAUUUCAAAUACCCAUAAAAUGCAUGCAAGUUUCAUGUAAAGUGAGUUCUCGGUAACCUAUAGUUUUAUGCCAACAGUUUCUACAAAGAAAUGGGCUAUAGUUUUAACAAUAUUUCUUUCUCUAUUUGAAACUUGUAUUCAAUUAUGUUUAGGCCUCCAUUUUUAUAUGUUAAACUAGUAUUCUGUCUCAGUAUGUAUUUUGAAACAGUCUACUCAAGCUAAUAACUAAGUAAACAACUAAGGAUUUCAUUAGAAUUUUAUAGUUUAUCAAGAAUCAUCUCCUCCUGUGUUUAUGCUAUGCCUACCCAUAAAUCAUGCUUAUCUCUAAUUUUUCUAAAUGCUAGUUCAAUGCUUGUGUAGUUGGGAUUAUAUUUGAAGGAGGGGGGUUUUGAAAUAGGUAUACAACUAACUUAUUGGCUUAUCAAGCUAGUGCAGAAAAUUGACAUGACUUUAGCUCUGAUUCCUCUUAAGUUCUAGCCCCUUAGUUUGCCUUUAUCUCAUCUCUUUAAAUCAACCUCAAUAUGUGACAUUAGGAAUGCCAAAGGACUUUAAAAUCUCAGACCAAAACUAGCUCUAAGUAGUUGGAACUGAGAGGAACAGUAACACACAGCUCCUCUUUUUUCUUUCUACUGAUUCUUUUUAAGUUCUACCUCAAAAGUUUGGAUUUUAUUGGAGGCUGCAGUAGUUUGGGUUUUUGUCCUUUAUUUUUACAGUUUGUAAACCAAUAUCAUGUCCAUGUGCAUUGGAUCAGUUCUAGUCUAUGGCGGUGGGAGCAUUGGGGAAAUGGGGCAGUGCAUAUAAAGGUAUCGAGGAGGCUGGACCUUGUGUAUGGAGGUGGGAGCAUUGGGCUAAUGGGGCUGGUUUAACAAGCAGUUUAUUAUUAUUGUGACGAAAAGUUACCAGUUUAUCUUGAUGGCUGUGUUUGCAUACCAAUCCUACAUCCUCUUGGUGAGGAUCCGAAUGGAAUAUAAGCUUGCAAGUGAAUUCAAGACACCAGUUCAUACUGAAUGUCAUAAAUACUUCAAACUAAAGCUUGCUUGCUUUCUUUUUAUAAAUCUGGUAAAUCUGAGAUUGUAAGUCUUUGCUUCGAGUAGUUUUGGUUCAAGGAAGGUUGUGAUGCUAUGUUCAUAUUCUAAAGUAGUUGUUGAACUGUAGAUUAAAUUACAAAAUGUUUUAUAUUAUUUAAUUGUAAGUGCAAAAUACUAUUAAGCUA
Carya illinoinensis is the source of this 4193-nucleotide long non-coding RNA. RefSeq lists it as uncharacterized. The transcript is spliced from 7 exons. Lineage: Eukaryota; Viridiplantae; Streptophyta; Magnoliopsida; Fagales; Juglandaceae. The record is from RefSeq and is a predicted model, not a curated record.